Oryza rufipogon (brownbeard rice) is the source of this 205-nucleotide microRNA precursor. It matches the Rfam family "MIR812 microRNA precursor family". The record is from Rfam. NCBI's taxonomy places the organism in Eukaryota, Viridiplantae, Streptophyta, Magnoliopsida, Poales, Poaceae.
CAUAAGUGUAGCUAUGAGUUUUCGCGUCCAACUUUGAUCGUCCGUUUUAUUUAAAUUUUUUUUAUAAUUAGCAUUUUUGUUGUUAUAAGAUGAUAAAACAUGGAUAUUACUUUACUCGUGACUUAUGUCUUUAAUUUUUUUUAAAAAAAAAUUAAAUAAGACGAAUGGUCAAAAUUGAGCGCUGAAAUCUAUGGCUGCACUUAUU